This 469-nucleotide ribosomal RNA is filed under the name Porphyromonas canoris. RNAcentral's name for it is "bacterial SSU rRNA". It matches the Rfam family "Bacterial small subunit ribosomal RNA", at positions 9 to 467 of the family's 1533-position model. Lineage: Bacteria; Pseudomonadati; Bacteroidota; Bacteroidia; Bacteroidales; Porphyromonadaceae. The record is from RNAcentral.
GAGUUUGAUUAUGGCUCAGGAUGAACGCUAGCGAUAGGCUUAACACAUGCAAGUCGAGGGGCAGCAUAGAGUCAGCUUGCUGAUUUGGAUGGCGACCGGCGGAUGGGUGCGUAACGCGUAUGCAACUUACCUGUCAGAGGGGGAUAACCCGGAGAAAUUCGGACUAAUACCGCAUACACUUGAGAUACUGCAUGGUAUUUCAAGGAAAUAUUUAUAGCUGACAGAUAGGCAUGCGUUCCAUUAGCUGGUAGGUGAGGUAACGGCUCACCUAGGCAACGAUGGAUAGGGGAACUGAGAGGUUAAACCCCCACACUGGUACUGAGACACGGACCAGACUCCUACGGGAGGCAGCAGUGAGGAAUAUUGGUCAAUGGGCGAGAGCCUGAACCAGCCAAUUCGCGUGAAGGAUGACUGCCCUAUGGGUUGUAAACUUCUUUAGUAGGGGAUUAAAGUUUGCCUUGCGAGGCAA